This 874-nucleotide ribosomal RNA is filed under the name uncultured bacterium. RNAcentral describes it as "bacterial SSU rRNA". It matches the Rfam family "Bacterial small subunit ribosomal RNA", at positions 62 to 942 of the family's 1533-position model. The record is from RNAcentral.
UCGAACGUGAAGCUCGGAUUGAUUACUUCGGUAUGAUUUAUGGGUGGAAAGUGGCGAACGGGUGAGUAACACGUAGAUAACCUGCCCUGGAGCGGGGGACAACCAUUGGAAACGAUGGCUAAUACCCCAUGGUUCUAUUUUUUCGAGAGUCUAAAUGGAUAAAGCUCUGGCGCUCCGGGAGGGGUCUGCGUCCGAUUAGCUAGUUGGUGGGGUAAUGGCUUACCAAGGCGACGAUCGGUAGCUGGUCUGAGAGGACGAUCAGCCACAUGGGAACUGAGACACGGUCCCAACUCCUACGGGGGGCAGCAGUGAGGAAUAUUGCACAAUGGGGCAACUCUGAUGCAGCAACGCCGCGUGGAGGAUGAAGGCUUCGGUUGUAAACUCCUUUUCUGAGGGAAGAGAAAGGACGGUACCUCAGGAAUAAGUCACGGCUAACUACGUGCCAGCAGCCGCGGUAAUACGUAGGUGGCGAGCGUUAUCCGGAUUUAUUGGGCGUAAAGCGCGCGCAGGCGGUUGAUCAAGUCCGACGUGAAAUCUCUCGGCUUAACUGGGAGGGGUCGUUAGAAACUGAUCAACUUGAGGCAAUGAGAGGGGUGCAGAAUUCCUGGUGUAGUGGUGGAAUGCGUAGAUAUCAGGAGGAAUACCAGUGGCGAAAGCGGCACCCUGGCAUUGGCCUGACGCUCAUGUGCGAAAGCGUGGGGAGCGAACGGGAUUAGAUACCCCGGUAGUCCACGCUGUAAACGAUGAAUACUAGUGUAGCAGCAUCAAACCUGUUUGUGCCGAAGCAAACGCGAUAAGUAUUCCGCCUGGGGAGUACGGCCGCAAGGCUAAACUCAAAGAAUUGACGGGGACCCGCACAAGCAGCGGAGCGUGU